This 449-nucleotide ribosomal RNA is filed under the name uncultured bacterium. Its description in RNAcentral is "partial 16S ribosomal RNA". It matches the Rfam family "Bacterial small subunit ribosomal RNA", at positions 29 to 523 of the family's 1533-position model. The record is from RNAcentral.
AACGAACGCUGGCGGCAUGCCUAACACAUGCAAGUCGAACGAGACCUUCGGGUCUAGUGGCGCACGGGUGCGUAACGCGUGGGAAUCUACCCUUGGGUUCGGAAUAACAGUUAGAGAUGACUGCUAAUACCGGAUGAUGACGUAAGUCCAAAGAUUUAUCGCCCAAGGAUGAGCCCGCGUAAGAUUAGCUUGUUGGUGGGGUAAUGGCCUACCAAGGCGACGAUCUUUAGCUGGUCUGAGAGGAUGAUCAGCCACACUGGGACUGAGACACGGCCCAGACUCCUACGGGAGGCAGCAGUGGGGAAUAUUGGACAAUGGGCGAAGGCCUGAUCCAGCAAUGCCGCGUGAGUGAUGAAGGCCUUAGGGUUGUAAAGCUCUUUUACCAGGGAUGAUAAUGACAGUACCUGGAGAAUAAGCUCCGGCUAACUCCGUGCCAGCAGCCGCGGUAA